CUACGGGGUGCUGCAGUGAGGAAUAUUGCACAAUGGGGGGAACCCUGAUGCAGCAACGCCGCGUGGAGGAUGACGCAUUUCGGUGUGUAAACUCCUUUUAUAUGUCAAGAAAAUGACGGUAGCAUAUGAAUAAGCGCCGGCUAACUCCGUGCCAGCAGCCGCGGUAAUACGGAGGGCGCAAGCGUUACUCGGAAUCACUGGGCGUAAAGGACGCGUAGGCGGGUUGAAAAGUCAGGUGUGAAAGCCUACAGCUUAACUGUAGAACUGCACUUGAAACUCUCAAUCUAGAGUAUGGGAGGGGCAGAUGGAAUUAGUGGUGUAGGGGUAAAAUCCGUAGAUAUCACUAGGAAUACCUAAAGCGAAGGCGAUCUGCUGGAACAUUACUGACGCUAAGGCGUGAAAGCGUGGGGAGCAAACAGGAUUAGAUACCCGAGUAGUC
RNAcentral lists this ribosomal RNA (439 nucleotides) under uncultured bacterium. RNAcentral's name for it is "partial 16S ribosomal RNA". It matches the Rfam family "Bacterial small subunit ribosomal RNA", at positions 339 to 795 of the family's 1533-position model. The record is from RNAcentral.